This 68-nucleotide transfer RNA is filed under the name Propithecus diadema (diademed sifaka). Its description in RNAcentral is "tRNA-Tyr". It matches the Rfam family "tRNA". From Rfam's summary of the family: Transfer RNA (tRNA) molecules are approximately 80 nucleotides in length. The record is from RNAcentral. Lineage: Eukaryota; Metazoa; Chordata; Mammalia; Primates; Indriidae.
GGUAAAAUGGCUGAGGUAGAGGCAUUGGACUGUAAAUCUAAGGACAGAGGUAAACCCUCUUUUUACCA